CCGUGGAAUGUCACCGGGAUGUUCACCUCCACCUCGGCCCUGGCCACCUCGCUCAUGUCUUUGGCGUUGAGGAUGAGGAGGAAGGCGGGCUUGGGCCCCGCGCCCGGGCUGAUCACGAUGCUCAGCACCACCCCUGCAAGGGCAUCCGGGUGGGAAACGAAGAUGGGCUCCGACGGGUACGCAUCCGGCUCCUGCCACACCCAGGUCUCCUUGGUUUUAACGUUCAGCUUGCACAGCUAAAGAGAGGUUCUUAUCCUUGAUGAUGUUCUCCAGGAGCUCUGCCACUGCAGCCUGCGAGGUGGAGACCUUUUGUUCUUCAAACUCCUGGGGAGUGAUUUGUUUGCAGUAGGAAUACGUUGGCAGGAUGGCACAAAUGUCUUCUGUUUCCUGAUUGCACUGAAAGAAAAAGGGCUCUGCAUGCACUCAACUAGUUCUUUACUAUUUGAAAGCAGCAAUUAACAAAUGAAUUUCUACUGCUCUGAUGGCACCAACCUGAGCCAUCUUCAUGUACUCGAGGUGAUCCCACACGGCAGCCUGCAGGUAAGUUGGGACCUGGAAUAUUUCCUGCUGAU
This is a long non-coding RNA of Prinia subflava (tawny-flanked prinia), 572 nucleotides long. RefSeq lists it as uncharacterized. The transcript is spliced from 4 exons. Lineage: Eukaryota; Metazoa; Chordata; Aves; Passeriformes; Cisticolidae. The record is from RefSeq and is a predicted model, not a curated record.